AGACCCGAAACCCGGUGAUCUAGCCAUGGGCAGGUUGAAGGUUGGGUAACACUAACUGGAGGACCGAACCGACUAAUGUUGAAAAAUUAGCGGAUGACCUGUGGCUGGGGGUGAAAGGCCAAUCAAACCGGGAGAUAGCUGGUUCUCCCCGAAAGCUAUUUAGGUAGCGCCUCGUGAAUUCAUCUCCGGGGGUAGAGCACUGUUUCGGCUAGGGGGCCAUCCCGGCUUACCAACCCGAUGCAAACUGCGAAUACCGGAGAAUGUUAUCACGGGAGACACACGGCGGGUGCUAACGUCCGUCGUGAAGAGGGAAACAACCCAGACCGCCAGCUAAGGUCCCAAAGUCAUGGUUAAGUGGGAAACGAUGUGGGAAGGCCCAGACAGCCAGGAUGUUGGCUUAGAAGCAGCCAUCAUUUAAAGAAAGCGUAAUAGCUCACUGGUCGAGUCGGCCUGCGCGGAAGAUGUAACGGGGCUAAACCAUGCACCGAAGCUGCGGCAGCGAACGUAUCACUUAAAGCGAUUCAGCGGGUUACGAUUGACGGAGCGAAGCGACGUCAAAGCGUAUACAAAGUCGAGUCGGUUUAAGGAUACGUUCGUUGGGUAGGGGAGCGUUCUGUAAGCCUGUGAAGGUGUGUCGUGAGGCAUGCUGGAGGUAUCAGAAGUGCGAAUGCUGACAUAAGUAACGAUAAAGCGGGUGAAAAGCCCGCUCGCCGGAAGACCAAGGGUUCCUGUCCAACGUUAAUCGGGGCAGGGUGAGUCGACCCCUAAGGCGAGGCCGAAAGGCGUAGUCGAUGGG
This 796-nucleotide ribosomal RNA is filed under the name Salmonella enterica. Its description in RNAcentral is "partial 23S ribosomal RNA". It matches the Rfam family "Bacterial large subunit ribosomal RNA", at positions 711 to 1422 of the family's 2925-position model. Lineage: Bacteria; Pseudomonadati; Pseudomonadota; Gammaproteobacteria; Enterobacterales; Enterobacteriaceae. The record is from RNAcentral.